This 253-nucleotide ribosomal RNA is filed under the name uncultured bacterium. RNAcentral describes it as "partial 16S ribosomal RNA". It matches the Rfam family "Bacterial small subunit ribosomal RNA", at positions 524 to 776 of the family's 1533-position model. The record is from RNAcentral.
UACGUAGGUGGCUAGCGUUGCCCGGAAUUAUUGGGCGUAAAGCGCGCGCAGGCGGUCUCUUAAGUCUGAUGUGAAAUCCCGUGGCUUAACCACGGGCGGUCAUUGGAAACUGGGGGACUUGAGUGCAGAAGAGAAGAGCGGAAUUCCACGUGUAGCGGUGAAAUGCGUAGAGAUGUGGAGGAACACCAGUGGCGAAGGCGGCUCUUUGGUCUGUAACUGACGCUGAGGCGCGAAAGCGUGGGGAGCGAACAGG